RNAcentral lists this ribosomal RNA (472 nucleotides) under uncultured bacterium. RNAcentral's name for it is "bacterial SSU rRNA". It matches the Rfam family "Bacterial small subunit ribosomal RNA", at positions 355 to 825 of the family's 1533-position model. The record is from RNAcentral.
UGGGGAAUUUUGGACAAUGGGCGAAAGCCUGAUCCAGCAAUGCCGCGUGAGUGAAGAAGGCCUUCGGGUUGUAAAGCUCUUUUGUCAGGGAAGAAACGGUGGGUUCUAAUACAGCCUGCUAAUGACGGUACCCGCAGAAUAAGCUCCGGCUAACUUCGUGCCAGCAGCCGCGGUAAUACGAAGGGAGCUAGCGUUGUUCGGAAUCACUGGGCGUAAAGCGCACGUAGGUGGGCAGUUAAGUCAGGGGUGAAAGCCCGAGGCUCAACCUCGGAAUUGCCUCUGAUACUGGCUGUCUAGAGUUCGAGAGAGGUGAGUGGAAUUCCUAGUGUAGAGGUGAAAUUCGUAGAUAUUAGGAAGAACACCGGUGGCGAAGGCGGCUCACUGGCUCGAUACUGACACUGAGGUGCGAAAGCGUGGGGAGCAAACAGGAUUAGAUACCCUUGUAGUCCCUGAGCGGGCUGGCAAGGCGCAU